GCGUAAAUUAAGGGGUGCCCGAGGUUUCGGGCUGAGAUGAAACCCUCUGACCUGAUCCGGAUAAUGCCGGCGUAGGAAUUAAAAGAAGGAAAUGC
Molecule: regulatory RNA element, 95 nt
Rfam family: TPP riboswitch aptamer (THI element)
About the family: Vitamin B(1) in its active form thiamin pyrophosphate (TPP) is an essential coenzyme that is synthesised by coupling of pyrimidine and thiazole moieties in bacteria. The previously detected thiamin-regulatory element, thi box was extended, resulting in a new, highly conserved RNA secondary structure, the THI element, which is widely distributed in eubacteria and also occurs in some archaea.
Source: Rfam